GUGGAUUAGAUACCCUGGUAGUCCUAGCCGUAAACGAUGGACACUAGAUGUUGCCCGUAUCGACCCGGGCAGUGUCGUAGCUAACGCGUUAAGUGUCCCGCCUGGGGAGUACGCACGCAAGUGUGAAACUCAAAGGAAUUGACGGGGGCCCGCACAAGCGGUGGAGCAUGUGGUUUAAUUCGAUGCAACGCGAAGAACCUUACCAGGGCUUGACAUGCCGCGAAUCCUUGUGAAAGCAGGGAGUGCCUUCGGGAGCGCGGACACAGGUGGUGCACGGCCGUCGCCAGCU
This 289-nucleotide ribosomal RNA is filed under the name uncultured bacterium. RNAcentral's name for it is "partial 16S ribosomal RNA". It matches the Rfam family "Bacterial small subunit ribosomal RNA", at positions 773 to 1060 of the family's 1533-position model. The record is from RNAcentral.